GCUGUUUCUAUGUUAACGUGAGGUCCACUCAACAUGCUGUUUCUAUCUUUACGUGAGGUCCACUCAACAUGCUGUUUCUAUGUUUACGUGAGGUCCACUCAACAUGCUGUUUCUAUCUUUACGUGAGGUCCACUCAACAUGCUGUUUCUAUGUUUACGUGAGGUCCACUCAACAUGCUGUUUCUAUGUUUACGUGAGGUCCACUCAACAUGCUGUUUCUAUGUUUACGUGAGGUCCACUCAACAUGCUGUUUCUAUGUUUACGUGAGGUCCACUCAACAUGCUGUUUCUAUGUUUACGUGAGGUCCACUCAACAUGCUGUUUCCUGUGUAAUGACCUAUGUGAAAUACAGGAAGUGCUUGA
Oncorhynchus tshawytscha (Chinook salmon) is the source of this 361-nucleotide long non-coding RNA. The record is from Ensembl. NCBI's taxonomy places the organism in Eukaryota, Metazoa, Chordata, Actinopteri, Salmoniformes, Salmonidae.